This 459-nucleotide ribosomal RNA is filed under the name uncultured bacterium. RNAcentral's name for it is "partial 16S ribosomal RNA". It matches the Rfam family "Bacterial small subunit ribosomal RNA", at positions 338 to 795 of the family's 1533-position model. The record is from RNAcentral.
CCUACGGGAGGCUGCAGUGAGGAAUAUUGGUCAAUGGCCGGAAGUCUGAACCAGCCAAGCCGCGUGAAGGACGAAGGUGCCAAGCGUUGUAAACUUCUUUUGUCAGGGAACAAAAUCAGGCUCGAGAGCCUGACCGAGGGUACUUGAAGAAAAAGCAUCGGCUAACUCCGUGCCAGCAGCCGCGGUAAUACGGAGGAUGCGAGCGUUAUCCGGAUUUAUUGGGUUUAAAGGGUGCGUAGGCGGACUGUUAAGUCAGCGGGAAAAGCCGGGGGCAAAACCCCGGCGAGCCGUUGAAACUGGCUGUCUUGAGAUGUGGAGAGGUAGGCGGAAUGCGCAGUGUAGCGGUGAAAUGCUUAGAUAUUGCGCAGAACUCCGAUUGCGAAGGCAGCAUACCGGCGGCGAUCUGACGCUGAGGCACGAAAGCGUGGGUAUCGAACAGGAUUAGAUACCCCAGUAGUC